Molecule: transfer RNA, 74 nt
Filed under: Cyathodium cavernarum
Lineage: Eukaryota; Viridiplantae; Streptophyta; Marchantiopsida; Marchantiales; Cyathodiaceae
Also listed under: 1 other name
Description: tRNA-Trp
Rfam family: tRNA
About the family: Transfer RNA (tRNA) molecules are approximately 80 nucleotides in length. Their secondary structure includes four short double-helical elements and three loops (D, anti-codon, and T loops).
Source: RNAcentral
GCGCUCUUAGUUCAGUUCGGUAGAACGUAGGUCUCCAAAACCUAAUGUCGUAGGUUCGAAUCCUACAGAGCGUG